ACCCCGUCAGGACCGGAAGGUAGCAGCGGUAAUGGGAUCUUGUGUGUGCCGUAUCCAACCUGACCGGA
RNAcentral lists this signal recognition particle RNA (68 nucleotides) under Magnetococcales bacterium. RNAcentral describes it as "partial signal recognition particle sRNA small type". It matches the Rfam family "Bacterial small signal recognition particle RNA", at positions 31 to 97 of the family's 97-position model. From Rfam's summary of the family: The signal recognition particle (SRP) is a universally conserved ribonucleoprotein involved in the co-translational targeting of proteins to membranes. Archaeal SRP consists of a 7S RNA and homologues of the eukaryotic SRP19 and SRP54 proteins. In most bacteria, the SRP consists of a 4.5S RNA and the Ffh protein (a homologue of the eukaryotic SRP54 protein). The record is from RNAcentral. Lineage: Bacteria; Pseudomonadati; Pseudomonadota; Magnetococcia; Magnetococcales.